Nelumbo nucifera (sacred lotus) is the source of this 3199-nucleotide non-coding RNA. Lineage: Eukaryota; Viridiplantae; Streptophyta; Magnoliopsida; Proteales; Nelumbonaceae. The record is from RefSeq and is a predicted model, not a curated record.
UCCCACAAUUUCCUUUCUCGUAUUAAUUCUCUCGGGAAAUCCCAUACCUCUAGACUCUGUGUCUCUCUCUACCUCUCAAAGCCUACCUUUUUCUUUCAAUCAAUGACAAUUCCAAUAUCUAUUCACUUCAGCCUUCAGGUAUAUGCCUCUCUCUGCCUUCUUUGGAGCCGCUUCUUCUGACCUGUUCGAUUUAAUUUGAAAGAGCUCUAAAUGAACAAAUUCUCCCAAGGUUUUUGGUUGGUUGGUUUUAGACGCAGUGCAACGUUGUUAAAUUACUCUUGUGUUGAGAGGUCAACAUCAGCAUAUAGUGGUAGUUCUCAUGAAAGUAGUUCAUCUGAAAAGGAAAGUAAUCACAAUGGUGGAGUAGCACGCCAGUCAGAGUUGGAAAGUGAAAAGGAGUGUGAAAACUUGGAAUGUUUGGAUGAGUCAAAUUCUCAGCUUAAAUCUCCAGAGAUCAACAUGGAGUUUAAAAGUGAAGAAAAUGCAUUUGAUUUUUAUCAAAAUUAUGCCUUGAAAAAGGGGUUCACUAUUCGAAAAGAUUGGAAAAAUAAGAACAAGUUGGGGGUGGUAACAAGCAGGAGGUUUUUUUGUAGCAAGCAAGGUUAUUGGAAGCCAGAUAAACGGGAUAAAGGAGUGAAGAAACCACGUAAAGAUACAAAAUGUGGUUGUCGUGCCUUUAUGACCAUCAACUUGAAAGAGAAUGGUAAAUAUGUUAUUGCCCACUUGGAAAAAAAUCACAACCAUGAUCUUGUUAUUCCAAAGAAAAGUACUUUAAAAUCACAGAAAAAGCUUACUAAAGCUCAAGCUACUACAACAGACUUAUCAGAUGAUUCAGGGGAUGCACCCAAAACUACAGUUGAAUUCAUGAGUAGGCAGGCAGGUGAUCAAACAAACAAUGGCUUCCUUUCAUUAGGUUAUAAGAAUUGUCUGCUUACAAAGCGAGAGAGAGCAUUAAAUUUGAGAGAUGCUGCUGCAGUGAUGCAUUAUUUUCAAAAGAAGCAAAAGGAGCAUCCCUCAUUCUACUACGCUAUGCAACUUGAUGUAAGUCAAAAGAUAACAAAUAUGUUUUGGGCAGAUGCUAAGAUGAUUGUUGAUUAUGAAUAUUUUGGUGAUGUGGUAUGUUUUGACACAACAUAUAGAAUGAAUCGUGAAGAUCAUCCAUUGAGUUUGUUUGUUGGUGUUAACCAUCAUAAGCAAUCCAUAAUUUUUGGGGGUGCUCUACUAUAUGAUGAGACUACUGAAUCAUUUGAGUGGUUGUUUCAGACAUUUGUUGAGGCAAUGUCAGGAAAAAGACCAAAGACAAUUCUUACAGAUCAAAGUGUGGCUAUGGCUAAUGCAAUUAAGUCAGUUUUGCCAAAUACAUGUCAUCGUAUUUGUGUGUGGCACAUAUUUCAAAAUGCAAUGAGGAAAAUCAGUUUUGCCUUUCGUCGUGGGUCCACCUUUAGUAGGGACUUCAGUAAAUGUAUAUUUGAUUGUGAGGAUGAGGAAGAGUUUGUACAAGCAUGGAAUAAUAUGCUUGAGGCACAUGAUUUGAAGGAAAACAAUUGGUUGCAAAAGCAAUUUAGUAGCAAAGAGAAGUGGGCUUUGGCUUAUGGGAGGAACACAUUUUGUGCAGAUAUGAAGAGUACUCAACAAAGUGAGAGCAUAAAUAGUGUGUUGAGGAAAGACUUGAACAACAACAUGGAUUUGCUACAAUUCUUAAAGCAUUUGGAAAGGGUUGUAGAUGAUUGUCGCAAUGCAGAAUUAAAUGCUAAUUUUAAGGAUAGCCAAGGUCCUCCAAAGUUAAUGGCAAAGGUGAUGAUGUUGACUGAAGCAGCGUCAAUUUAUACACAUGCUGUUUUUAAGAAGUUUCAAGAGGAGUAUGCUAAAUUGUUGGCAUGUGAUUGUAUUUGUUGUAGUGAGUUUGGUACAGUUUUUACAUACAAAAUUACCAUGGAAGAUGAGCAACGUGAGCACUUGAUUACAUUUGAUUCAUCUAAUGAGACUUUGGAUUGCAGUUGUAGAAAGUUUCAAUUUACUGGGAUUUUGUGUUGUCAUGCAAUAAAAGUUCUCAAUUUUAGAAAUAUAAAAAUGAUACCACGACAUUAUAUCUUGGAAAGGUGGACAAAAUUUGCAAAAGUGGGAAUAGUAAAUGGCUUGCAAAGAUCUGCCAUAGAAGUUGAUCCCAACUUUGAAGUAUCAAGUCGUUAUCAAAUUUUGUGCCCCAUUGUGGUUAAGAUGGUAGCAAGAGCAGCAGAGUCUGAUGCAGCCUUUAAAUAUAUUUUAGGGCAUUGUGAUGAUUGGUUAAAUCGUGUUAACGAUCUCAUUGUUAAUGACCCUCCUAACAAAUAUCCUACUGAGAAGGGGCAUGGCAGUACAGUACAAACUGAAGGUGAAAAAAUUUCCAUAGAUGGGACUGAUUAUUAUGUUAACAUUGAUGAGGGUUCACAAUCUGUACAAGUUCAAGGAAUCGCUCGGAAUGAAGAGUGCUUGCGUGGUAAUAAUAAAAGAACAAAAAUCUGGAAUGAGAAGCUCCCAGCAAGACGUAAGACAAGUUCACAUGUUCCAUCACAAAACACUUCCUCCAAUGUUGACAAUAAUCUUUUGUCUAACUGUUCUGUUAUAGACUCAUCACAGAAUCAAUUUGAACAGAGGCAUUUGGCUUCUUUUAAUAUAAAUGAGAAUCUUCAGGCCUAUCAUCCUGUUACAGUCCCAUCACAGACUCAUGUGGAACAGGAUUCAACACCUCAGUUAUAUGUUUGGGAAUCAAUCUUUAGCAACAAUUCUCAACCAUGUCAGGUAUAAUAAACAGAGCCUUUAUAGUGAAUAUUGUUCAUGUAUGCACUGACUUCCUUGCAUAUAUAGGAGUCUUCGGUGGUUGGAGUUCCACAGAAUAUAAGUGGUGAAAGUUCUGAUGGCUGAAGAGGCUCUGUGUGAAGCUCUAAUGAGGCAAGAGAAACUACUUGAAUACAUAGGCCGUCAAGAAGAAACAACGUUCCAGAGAAAAAAAGCGUGAAGCUUUUGCUGGUGAAUGAGAGAUAGCACCAGAGAAGUUGUGUUGCAGAUUGCACACGAGCAGCGGACUUUGUCUAUAUCCUGUCAUUUCUAUGCAAAUGUUUGAGGUGGUGCUGCAGAUGAGUACAGGGAGAGGCCAUACUGAUAUGGAACUGCGACAUUUCAGGCCAUUGAGGAAUGCAGAGUCUGAUCGAAAAGAUGGAAA